This 45-nucleotide non-coding RNA is filed under the name Schistosoma mattheei. The record is from RNAcentral. Lineage: Eukaryota; Metazoa; Platyhelminthes; Trematoda; Strigeidida; Schistosomatidae.
AUACAGAUGACUAGUCCCAAGUAGGACGAAACAUGUGUCCUGUAU